This 69-nucleotide transfer RNA is filed under the name Diamphipnopsis sp. SD-2019. RNAcentral's name for it is "tRNA-Asp". The record is from RNAcentral. Lineage: Eukaryota; Metazoa; Arthropoda; Insecta; Plecoptera; Diamphipnoidae.
AAAGAAUUAGUUAAAUAAUAACAUUAGUAUGUCAUGCUAAAAUUAUUAGUAAUAUUCUAAUAUUCUUUA